CAAUAGCGUAUAUUAAAGUUGUUGCAGUUAAAAAGCUCGUAGUUGGAUUUCUGGUGGGAGCACGGGUCGGCCCUCACGGGUUGUACUGUUGUUGCGUCCCGCCGUUUCGGAGGGAAUGGUCUCGCUAUUAAGUUAGCGUGAUCGGGAACUCUGUCGUUUACUGUGAAAAAAUUAGAGUGUUCAAAGCAGGCCUUCGCUGUGAAUACAUUAGCAUGGAAUAAUAAGAUAGGACCGCGUGGUCGUCUUGUGGUUUGCACCGCGAGGUAAUGAUUAAUAGGUACAGUUGGGGGUAUUCGUAUUUAAUUGUCAGAGGUGAAAUUCUUGGAUUUAUGAAAGACGAACUUCUGCGAAAGCAUUUUACCAAGGAUGUUUUCAUUAAUCAAGAACGAAAGUUAGGGGUAUCGAAGAUGAUCAGAU
Molecule: ribosomal RNA, 417 nt
Filed under: uncultured eukaryote
Lineage: Eukaryota
Description: bacterial SSU rRNA
Rfam family: Eukaryotic small subunit ribosomal RNA
Source: RNAcentral